Amblyraja radiata (thorny skate) is the source of this 142-nucleotide long non-coding RNA. RefSeq lists it as uncharacterized. The record is from RefSeq and is a predicted model, not a curated record. The transcript has 3 exons. NCBI's taxonomy places the organism in Eukaryota, Metazoa, Chordata, Chondrichthyes, Rajiformes, Rajidae.
AGGAGGAGGGGGUUCACAAGAGGGUGGAAUGGAGAGAAUUUGUGUACGAGUGGGGGAGAGUGGAAGGAGAGGAGAGAGAGGAAUGUAUCUGUGCAGCUUUACGGGACAUUGGUCGGGUAGCAUUUGGAGUAUUGCAUACAGU